GCUUGCUCUGAUUUCACCAGUGAACCGAGUGGCGAACUGUGGAGGAACACUGUGGGAAAACUGCCCAGAAGCAGGGGAUAACACUUGGAGACAGGUGCUAAUACCGUAUAACAACAAAAUCCGCAUGGAUUUUGUUUGAAAGGUGGCUUCGGCUAUCACUUCUGGAUGAUCCCGCGGCGUAUUAGUUAGUUGGUGAGGUAAAGGCCCACCAAGACGAUGAUACGUAGCCGACCUGAGAGGGUAAUCGGCCACAUUGGGACUGAGACACGGCCCAAACUCCUACGGGAGGCAGCAGUAGGGAAUCUUCCACAAUGGACGAAAGUCUGAUGGAGCAAUGCCGCGUGAGUGAAGAAGGGUUUCGGCUCGUAAAACUCUGUUGUUAAAGAAGAACACCUUUGAGAGUAACUGUUCAAGGGUUGACGGUAUUUAACCAGAAAGCCACGGCUAACUACGUGCCAGCAGCCGCGGUAAUACGUAGGUGGCAAGCGUUGUCCGGAUUUAUUGGGCGUAAAGCGAGCGCAGGCGGUUUUUUAAGUCUGAUGUGAAAGCCUUCGGCUUAACCCGGAGAAGU
Molecule: ribosomal RNA, 571 nt
Filed under: Levilactobacillus brevis
Lineage: Bacteria; Bacillati; Bacillota; Bacilli; Lactobacillales; Lactobacillaceae
Description: bacterial SSU rRNA
Rfam family: Bacterial small subunit ribosomal RNA
Source: RNAcentral